UACUAGAGUAGCACUCGCAUAUCAAUAAGCGGAGGAAAAGAAACUAACAAGGAUUCCCCUAGUAACGGCGAGUGAAGCGGGAAGAGCUCAAAUUUGAAAUCUUAAAGGGUUUCCCUUUACGAAUUGUAGUUUAAAGAAGUGUUUUCUGUUGAGGUUUUGGUAAAAGUUCUUUGGAAUAGGACAUCAUAGAGGGUGAGAAUCCCGUAUUUGACCUUUACUUUCAACUUUGUGAUACACUUUCAAAGAGUCGGAUUGUUUGGGAAUGCAGUCCAAAAUGGGUGGUAAAUUUCAUCUAAAGCUAAAUAUUGGCGAGAGACCGAUAGCGAACAAGUACCGUGAGGGAAAGAUGAAAAGAACUUUGAAAAGAGAGUUAAACAGUACGUGAAAUUGUCAAAAGGGAAGCGUUUGACACCAGUGUUGUUUUUCUGAAAAUCAAUUAAAGAACUGUUUAUGCUAAGUUGUUUAGACUUUAUCAGCUAUCUGUUUAGUUCUGAGCUUUUCUUUAAUGCACUUUUCAGUUAACAAGUCAACAUCAAUUUCUUUUGCUGUAAAAAAGCUUGAGGAAGGUGGCUUGAGAUUCGUCUUAAGUGUUUAUAGCCUCUUGCCUAUGCAGUCGGAGAGAUUGAGGUCUGCAGCGUAGAUCCUUCGGGGCUAAAUGCAUUUGUGCUAAGUUAUAGCAUUUUAUAGACAACUUGUUGACUAUGAUUUGUCUUGUAGCUUACUCGCUUAUGUUAUUUUACCUACGCUUAGGAUGUUGAGCGCAUGUCUCUCUCU
Molecule: ribosomal RNA, 774 nt
Filed under: uncultured Neocallimastigales
Lineage: Eukaryota; Fungi; Neocallimastigomycota; Neocallimastigomycetes; Neocallimastigales
Description: partial large subunit ribosomal RNA
Rfam family: Eukaryotic large subunit ribosomal RNA
Source: RNAcentral